This 452-nucleotide ribosomal RNA is filed under the name uncultured bacterium. Its description in RNAcentral is "bacterial SSU rRNA". It matches the Rfam family "Bacterial small subunit ribosomal RNA", at positions 340 to 786 of the family's 1533-position model. The record is from RNAcentral.
UACGGGAGGAGCAGUGGGGAAUAUUGCACAAUGGGCGCAAGCCUGAUGCAGCCAUGCCGCGUGUAUGAAAAAGGCCUUCGGGUUGUAAAGUACUUUCAGUCGUGAGGAAGGUGUUAAGGUUAAUAACCUUAGCAAUUGACGUUAGCGACAGAAGAAGCACCGGCUAACUCCGUGCCAGCAGCCGCGGUAAUACGGAGGGUGCGAGCGUUAAUCGGAAUUACUGGGCGUAAAGGGCACGCAGGCGGUUAAUUAAGUUGGAUGUGAAAUCCCCGGGCUUAACUGGGAAUGGCAUUCAAGACUGGUUAGCUAGAGUCUUGUAGAGGGGGUAGGAAUUCCAUGUGUAGCGGUGAAAUGCGUAGAGAUGUGGAGGAAUACCGGUGGCGAAGGCGGCCCCUGGACAAAGACUGACGCUCAUGUGCGAAAGCGUGGGGAGCAAACAGGGAUUAGAUACC